This 319-nucleotide ribosomal RNA is filed under the name uncultured bacterium. Its description in RNAcentral is "bacterial SSU rRNA". It matches the Rfam family "Bacterial small subunit ribosomal RNA", at positions 470 to 789 of the family's 1533-position model. The record is from RNAcentral.
UGCAAGUAUCAGACGAAUAAGCAUCGGCUAACUCCGUGCCAGCAGCCGCGGUAAUACGGAGGAUGCGAGCGUUAUCCGGAUUUAUUGGGUUUAAAGGGUGCGUAGGCGGUUUGUUAAGUCAGUGGUGAAAGCGUGUAGCUCAACUAUACCAAGCCAUUGAUACUGGCGAACUUGAGUGUAAACGAGGUAGGCGGAAUAUGACGUGUAGCGGUGAAAUGCUUAGAUAUGUCAUAGAACCCCGAUUGCGAAGGCAGCUUACCAGCAUACAACUGACGCUGAGGCACGAAAGCGUGGGUAUCAAACAGGAUUAGAUACCCUG